Long non-coding RNA from Catharus ustulatus (Swainson's thrush), 642 nucleotides. RefSeq lists it as uncharacterized. The record is from RefSeq and is a predicted model, not a curated record. The transcript has 2 exons. NCBI's taxonomy places the organism in Eukaryota, Metazoa, Chordata, Aves, Passeriformes, Turdidae.
CGGGCGGGUGACACGGGACGGACGGUGCCGGGUGUCACCCCCUCCCUCCGGCCCGUACCCCAGCGCCGCGCGGCCCGGCACCUCGGGGGCGCACGGGCCGUACCACCCUACGGGCACGCCGAGGAGCUGGAAGGGCAGCCCCGCCCGGCGCUAUUUGCCGCACGGGCCACCGCCGGGAUGCUCCUUUGUUCUGUUUGCCCUCCCGGCAUCUCACUGGGAAAAGCAGCGGGCUGGGCAAGAGCGGAGCCGAUGAAGAAUACCCCCAUCCCCCCCGCGCCGCAGUGAUAAAUAACUAAACGCUAUGAGGCAGAGAACCCCUUCUUGGUUGGGAGCAUGGGAGAAGAGGUGGAGGAGGUCUAGCGUCCGGGACUGCACUGGGGAUGAUGGCUGAGGAGCUGGAGAGAGAAGAAUCGUACAGAAUCAGCUAGGCUGGAAAAGAUCUCUGAGGUCAUCAAGUCCUGUCUUUGUCCGAACAUGUGAAUGUAACCCUGACAUUAAGUGCCAUGCCCAGUCUUUUCUCAAACACCGGGACGGUGACUCCACAGCAGCAGCUCCUUUGAAGCAGUCCCAGCAUCCUGAUUUCCUGUGCACAUUGUAAAGUCCUCCCUUUCAGCACGAUGGAAUAAAUUUAGAUUCAUUGUG